RNAcentral lists this ribosomal RNA (332 nucleotides) under uncultured bacterium. Its description in RNAcentral is "bacterial SSU rRNA". It matches the Rfam family "Bacterial small subunit ribosomal RNA", at positions 568 to 898 of the family's 1533-position model. The record is from RNAcentral.
CGCGUAGGCGGUACCCUAAGUUAGAUGUGAAAACCCGAAGCUUAACUUCGGACCUGCAUUUAAAACUGGGGAACUCGAGUGUCGGAGAGGAAAGCGGAAUUCCAAGUGUAGCGGUGAAAUGCGUAGAUAUUUGGAGGAACACCAGUGGCGAAGGCGGCUUUCUGGACGAUAACUGACGCUGAGGCGCGAAAGCGUGGGGAGCAAACAGGAUUAGAUACCCUGGUAGUCCACGCUGUAAACGAUGGAUACUAGGUGUGGGAGGUAUCGAACCCUUCCGUGCCGCAGUUAACGCAAUAAGUAUCCCGCCUGGGGAGUACGGCCGCAAGGUUGAA